UUUCGCAAUGCCCGAAAGGGUGACGAAGCGACGCCGCGUGUGGGAAGAAGGCUCUAGGGUUGUAAACCACUGUCAGGAGUUAAGAAAUGUAAAGGUGUUAAUAGCGCCUUUAUUUGACGAAGGCUCCAGAGGAAGCCACGGCUAACUCUGUGCCAGCAGCCGCGGUAAUACAGAGGUGGCAAGCGUUGUUCGGAAUUAUUGGGCGUAAAGAGCACGUAGGCGGUCCUGCAAGUCUGUUGUGAAAUCCUUCCGCUUAACGGGAGAACGGCAGCUGAUACUACAGGACUAGAGUACGGGAGGGGAGAGUGGAACUUCUGGUGGAGCGGUGAAAUGCGUAGAUAUCAGAAGGAACGCCGGCGGCGAGAGCGACUCUCUGGCCCGAAACUGACGCUGAGUGUGCGAAAGCUAGGGGAGCAAACGGGAUUAGAUACCCCGGUAGUCCUAGCCGUAAACGAUGGGCACUAAGUAGAGGGGUUUU
Molecule: ribosomal RNA, 478 nt
Filed under: uncultured Planctomycetales bacterium
Lineage: Bacteria; Pseudomonadati; Planctomycetota; Planctomycetia; Planctomycetales
Description: bacterial SSU rRNA
Rfam family: Bacterial small subunit ribosomal RNA
Source: RNAcentral